Molecule: long non-coding RNA, 572 nt
Filed under: Eucalyptus grandis
Lineage: Eukaryota; Viridiplantae; Streptophyta; Magnoliopsida; Myrtales; Myrtaceae
Description: long non-coding RNA (EGRA_LNC002090)
Source: RNAcentral
CGGUGUAUUCCUCGCAAAAAAGUCCUUCCCGUCAACGCGGCUGCUAACCUGGAAUCACUUAUGCAGAGCAGGCCAGAGCUCGUCGGCGAGUGAGCGAGAGAGGGAGGUGAUGGCCCCUUAUUCGUUUGUGCCUCGUUGCGGCUGCCUGCGUUUUUCACGCAGUAGGAGAAGGCCGGUCAGUUCCGCUUCCCCGUGUUUGUGCGUUGCUUUUUUUUUUUGGGUUAUGUCUGUGCGAGGACUGUCGAUUUAGCUGGCAUAUGCUUUGAUCUGCAUCAUCAGUGCACAUUCUUUCUUUGGACUGCAAUCAAGGAUUGAUUUAGCUGGUAUAUGCUUAGAUCCGCAUCAUCUGUGCGAGGACUAUCGAUCGAAUGGAGUCAACUGUUUUCCUUUCCUUUUGCUUUCGUUUUUCUUUAUUCUUUCCAAAGCAACUUUAUCGUCUCGGAUCAGAACAUCCUAGUAGUCAAGAAGACCCUAUGCCUUCACUUUUUACUUUUGCUACUCUGCGGAAAUUAUCCAACACGAAGUGGCAACUUGUAAUAGGAGGCGGAGGCAGCGGUGGCGGCGACUGAGGC